Tympanuchus pallidicinctus (lesser prairie-chicken) is the source of this 2531-nucleotide long non-coding RNA. RefSeq lists it as uncharacterized. Lineage: Eukaryota; Metazoa; Chordata; Aves; Galliformes; Phasianidae. The record is from RefSeq and is a predicted model, not a curated record. The transcript has 3 exons.
AUAGGUGGGAAUAAACUGCAAAGGCAAUGAAGAUUCAGAUCUGUGGUUAAGUAGGCUUUCAUCAGAGUGCAAGAGCUCUCUAUCCACAGGUGUAGCAAGUCAGGAAACGGAGGAACAACCCAGGGCAUAGAUGGAUACAGAGGCUGUGGCUUUUGCUAUGCUGCAGCAUUUGCCAAGACUAUGAAGAGUUCGAUAGGCCUAAGAAAGAAACAGAACAACCUUUCAAGAGAAACCCAAGGACAACAGAGGACAUGGCCAGGAGAGACUUAUGUGGAAGAGCCUGGGCAGCCUGACCCUACCUCUCCAGCCUGCACACCACCUCUUUAUGAGCCGUCCCCUGUCUGUGCUGAACGCUGAUGGGAGUUGUUCUGCCUUCACCCUCAAUAGUGUAAAUCAGUUAUCAGACUGAUCUGUGCAAUAACAUCAAACUAAAACCUACAAGGGAUCUGGCGGUGUUAUUGGUGAAAAACUGCUCAGUUUAUAUCUUGAAUCCUUCUCAAAACAAGUUAUCCUUACUUGUGUAGAAGUAACGUAUUUUAGAACAUCUUUGGUAUAUUUUGUCUUUUCUGCAGGCUUUUGUAAAAUUAUUUUGUUAAAUAUCAGUUUGGAUUAUUUCCUUCCAUUUGUUGUGUCCCUCACGCUCCUUGCUUCAAACAUUUGUUUGCAGCUUGCCUGUUCUUUUUUGAGGUUUCAGUUUUCUUCAACUUGCUCCUUUGAAUAAUUCAAUCCACUGAAAAGGAUCUGCUUUCCUUCAGAGCUUUCAAUCAGCAAGUGAUGUUCACCACUUAUGCUCUAAUUGCCUUUCCCAAAUUGAAGUUAGAAUCUUUUCUGCAAUCUUGUUAUUUCUUUUGGCUCUCUGUUACAAUGUUUACCUCAAAUUAAGGAUUCCAUAAGCCCUCCAAAUGGCACAGUUGAUUCAACAGUCACAACUCUGUUCUCAAAACCUCAACAGUCUUUUUUUUUCUCAUCUUUUUGAGUUCUCAUGUGAUAUUUUUGUCAUCAUCACAAGAUCUCACAAAAAAUUUUUUCUUCAUCUAGAAGAAUGACGUUUUUUAGCUGUCUUGAUCACAAUCUCAUCUCCAGCUUGCUCUGAAUUUAUAUGCAUGUUAUCAUAUGAGGUUUCUGCUUCUCUCAUUGAAAGUCUAUCUUUAAUUUCCUUAGUCUUAGCAAAGACCCUAAUACCAUAAAUGCAGUAUGUCAUGGGAAAACCUUAUACAGCUAGAGCAGACUGGAAACCAAAGCUGUUGAUCGUACACUAAUAAAGUGAGUAAGGGUCACAAAUUAAAUGUUAACAUUGAGACUGCAAUAGAAUGGGUGUUACUAAAUUUGGACAAAUAGGAUAAAGAAGGCUGUGGUUAAAUGGCAUUUCACUCACUGAAGCUAUUCCUGUCCCCACCCUGACCACAGGAUAUCAGGAGAUGAGGAGAAGAAUCUAAAACUAAGAAAGGUCUGAAACAGAAAUGGGUUUAAUAAGUGGAACUAAAUGCCAGGACAGAAGCUCCCAUUGAGAGCUAAGGUGACCUUAGCUCACAUUUGUUUGGCUAGCUCUGAGUACACUUACCACUGGCUCUCCUGCGGAUGAGGACAUCCAGGUUCAGCUGUUUCACAAGAAAUGACUUGUUAAGGAUAUGCAAGGUAACUCCAUGUUCCCUUUUAAACAGCUGGAGUUGUACAUUAAUUACAUCUAUCCAUAAACAUACUUUCCUCAUACUUCAACAAGAACAAAGAACAGCUGUUGAUGUCAGAGGCUUUCUCCUCCCAGAUCUUUGCAUUCAUUUCAGAUUUGACUUUCUGAGACAUAUUUUUGUCCAAAAUUUUCCAGUUCGCUUAAGAUUUUCCAACAUCAUGAGACUUUCUCAACAGUUCUGGGUGCCUAGGCCAUUCCUGCUCUGUUCAGUGCUUAGUUGGUGUAAAGCUAUAAGAACAAGCAGAAGUCUAAAGAGAAGUAGUUUAUUUACUUAUGAAAAUUGCAUUUUUACAUCCCACUGGACUCUGGCCACAUAAAGUGAGCCCUGAGGUUGUGCAACUCAUCUCCUUGCGCUCAGAAAUGUGCUCUGCAAUUUUAGGAUUUUAGCUUAGGCACACUUGAGUGACAUGAAUUGAGUGAAACAGAUCUUUCAUUCCCUAGGAGAAGUUAAAGUUUGCUUUUAUUUCAGAGGUGAAAGCGAAGUAGAAAAUAAAUUAAGACUAAGGAAAGGUGAGUUGGUUACUGAUAAUGAUUUAAAAAUAUAUACAAAAAAGUGUCCUUAGUUUUUAGCUUUUCUGUUCUAUUUUGUUUUAUAAGCAGUGGUAAUAUGGCAUAUUAUUUAGGAAAAUUCUAAAGGUUUUUCCACAAUGAAGUUUUAAUAAUUUCAAAUUUAAUAAAGUUUUCAAUUUCACCUGCAGGAAAAAUAAACUGAAUUUUACCUGCAAAAUUUGAAAAGAUUGUAUAGUCUGUAUCUAAUCCAUGGCUACAAUCCCUCCUGGUUACACUACCUGUACAAUCUCCUGUUACUUUUUCCUAAACUAUGUAUUGCAUCACUUGAAGGCAU